AUUCCUACGGGCAGGCAGCAGUGGGGAAUAUUGGACAAUGGGGGCAACCCUGAUCCAGCCAUGCCGCGUGAGUGAUGACGGCCUUAGGGUUGUAAAGCUCUUUUCUCCGGGACGAUAAUGACGGUACCGGAGGAAUAAGCCCCGGCUAACUUCGUGCCAGCAGCCGCGGUAAUACGAAGGGGGCUAGCGUUGCUCGGAAUCACUGGGCGUAAAGGGCGCGUAGGCGGCUGAUUUAGUCGAGGGUGAAAGCCCGUGGCUCAACCACGGAAUGGCCUUCGAUACUGAUUGGCUUGAGACCGGAAGAGGACAGCGGAACUGCGAGUGUAGAGGUGAAAUUCGUAGAUAUUCGCAAGAACACCAGUGGCGAAGGCGGCUGUCUGGUCCGGUUCUGACGCUGAGGCGCGAAAGCGUGGGGAGCAAACAGGAUUAGAUACCCUGGUAGUCCACGCUGUAAACGAUGAAUGCUAGCCGUUGGGGUGCAUGCACCUCAGUGGCGCCGCUAACGCUUAAGCAUCCGCAUGGUAGACCGC
This 530-nucleotide ribosomal RNA is filed under the name Methylobacterium sp. FN2. RNAcentral describes it as "bacterial SSU rRNA". It matches the Rfam family "Bacterial small subunit ribosomal RNA", at positions 335 to 889 of the family's 1533-position model. The record is from RNAcentral. Lineage: Bacteria; Pseudomonadati; Pseudomonadota; Alphaproteobacteria; Hyphomicrobiales; Methylobacteriaceae.